This is a long non-coding RNA of Pangasianodon hypophthalmus (striped catfish), 2515 nucleotides long. RefSeq lists it as uncharacterized. The transcript has 9 exons. NCBI's taxonomy places the organism in Eukaryota, Metazoa, Chordata, Actinopteri, Siluriformes, Pangasiidae. The record is from RefSeq and is a predicted model, not a curated record.
CGCGGAGCUGGCGGGUCAGAGCGCGCGCGCGUUUCUCCCCUUUCUGCCCAACUCUGACCUUGAGGGAGACAAUAAAAGAGGGUCAGAGCGCGCGCCUGGGGCAAGCCGAGCCACCGGGAGCCUUCUACAGGUGUGUGUGAGGACGAGUCUUGCGGCCCGGAGUGUUUACUGCGUGCCGCUGUAUGGAGCUGAGUGAGUGGCGCGAGGCCACCCUGGAGCUGCGCAGACGCAGGGACUGGACGGAAAGAUGCAUGUCUGGAUCCCUGAUCAGAUGGAGGCCUCAGCAUGGAGAUUAAAACAAAGUAGAUGGAUGGAAAGAUGGAAGGGUCUGUGUUGUCCCCUUCUCCGUGCAUCCUCCCUACGGACCUCCUCACGGCUGUUCUGUGUGACAGAGAACCCUAACAAAUGGCGACCAGUCUACACUGCUGAUGUCAUCUCUGAUUAUAAGAGCGAGCUCAGACGCUUGACCUUAUAUCUACUCCAUAGCUGACAGUGCACACCAUGCUAUGCUAAAACGUUACCUACACUGCUGGCACUCUGACCAAAGCUACUGAUGAACACAUGUUUAAAAGGAGUUUGUAAGCAGAACCAGUAAGACACUCUACACAUCCCUCCUUCACUAGUUCUUCAUAGGAUUCUCGACAUAGCUGGAUUUGAGCUUUAUGAGUUUUGAGCAGUUGUGUAUCAGUUUCACAACUGACAAACUCCAGCAGGUUUUUUUUAACGAGCACAUGUUCGUUUUGGAGCAGGAGGAAUAUAACAGAUGGCACUGAAUGGACUUUUAUUGACUUUGGCUUAGACCUCCAUUGACCUCAUUGAGUAGGAGAAUCUUAACAAGCUGAUGACCAACCUGAGGAGCACUCAGUCUCACUUCGAAUGCUGCAGCAUUUCUGUAAUGCAGACCUACAAGAACUACUUGAGACUACUGCUAGUACCAACAAAGCACCACAUCUUCAUUUAGACAUUUAAAUGGGUACCUCUUCACCUGCUGCUCUAAGGUAUGAUGGAGGUGUUCCUGGUCCUUCACCACUUAAUGGAGUUCUAGAGGACAAUUGCAUCUACAGGAUGGGAUUUUCUACCCAAAUCUUGUGUGCCAAGUUUAAACAGUGUUAUUGAAUCUUGAACCCUUCUACCAUUCCAAAGGACAAAUGGACAAUGAGACUAUGAGGCUGCAGAUAAACUUCUAAGCUUGCUGGAUACUGACCACAUGCAAUACAGGGGAAAGCACUGACCUGAGUAAGUGGUUUGGUUAAGCAGGCAAGACAGUCCUUUAGACCAAAUGUAAAAGUCUCUGGAUUAAGAGUGACAUCCAGGCAGCACUGGAGGAACCUGUUUGGUUGCAGAGGUCAGGAUGAAGAUGAUGUAGGAAGACCUAAAUAAGAUGCUGUUCCAGCUCAGCUAUGCUAACAAACAGACAGCUGCAUCACAAAAACUAGUUCACUACCAACAAAGUAGCCAUUUCUCCACCUUACCUUCUACACUGAAGUAAUGUGACAUCAGCUUCAAUAUGUCAACAAAACUAUACAAACUAAAAUGAAGAGAUCAAUCCAAUCAACAUGUAUCUUUAUCUUCUUUAUAUCUUAUCUAUAAAUAAGCAAGACACAUGAAGGCCAAGUAGCAUGAACAAAUAAAGGAAACGGAGCUUGAUGAGUCUCUGCAUCAGUGUGAAGGUCUCGAGAAAAUCUUGCUGGCUCCUGAACUGGAAAAGCUCCAAACAAUAAUUGAACAAAUCGGCCAAAUGUGCAAGCCUCCUGGAAUCCAGUGAGAGUGAAUAUUUUAUAUGCCCAGAAGAGAAACAAAACUAGCACACAAAUACCAUACAGAGAAGUAAUAAAACCAAUACUGAUCUGUCUGUGCACUGAUGUUGAUUGUGUGCUGAACCAGAUAAAGAAGCUGGAACAUGUUAUCUUGAUGGUGGCGGUGAUGCAAGGAUUUCUGCAGUGCUCAGGAGAAGGCCAAGAAACCCUACAAGAUAAAGAGUUAGUGCGUAGUGUCUCAUCUUAAAGCAUUCUGCCUUGCUUGCAUUACAUAUCACAACUUCUAGGAAAGCACACACACUGUUCAUAUUGGUCUACAUCACUGCGCAAGUACAGGUUGCUUUGACUGUGUAUAAGCUGGAAGGAAAGGACAAUACCAACAUGACCCAUUUCAGAAAGAUCCACCACAAUGCAGAGGAGAGCAGACAUGGACGAGUUUCUAGCCAACCGACUGUGCCUUUGCACAAGAGAGACACAUCGUCAAGCCAUAAGUGCUCCUAUAUUUAGAGCAGGUGAUUUCACAUGGUGAUGAAGCAUGCUCCUGAUUAAAUUUCUGGUUUACACAUUGUUGUGGACAAGGAUUCUUAAUAUAGAGUUUACUUUUUUUAAGCAAUGUAGACAGAAAAAGAUCAUAACCUGUGUGGUACACAGUAGAGCUUUCAUAUAGUAACAAGAUGUUUUUUUGAAACUCCUACAUUUCUCUGGAUGCCCAAGUCUGGAAAUGACUAGAAAUUUUAAAUAAAGCUAAACAAAGAGAA